RNAcentral lists this ribosomal RNA (240 nucleotides) under uncultured bacterium. Its description in RNAcentral is "partial 16S ribosomal RNA". It matches the Rfam family "Bacterial small subunit ribosomal RNA", at positions 15 to 235 of the family's 1533-position model. The record is from RNAcentral.
GAUCUUGGCUCGGGAUGAACGCUGGCGGCGUGCUUAACACAUGCAAGUCGAGCGAAGCACUUUGCUUUGAUUUCUUCGGGAUGAAGAGCUUGGUGACUGAGCGGCGGACGGGUGAGUAACGCGUGGGUAACCUGCCUCAUACAGGGGGAUAACAGUUAGAAAUGACUGCUAAUACCGCAUAAGGCCACAGCACCGCAUGGUGCAGGGGUAAAAACUCCGGUGGUAUGAGAUGGACCCGCG